AAACUGCGAUAAGUAGUGUGAAUUGCAUUUAGUGAAUCAUCGAAUCUUUGAACGCACCCUGCACUCACUGGUAUUCCGGUGAGUACGCCUGUUUCAGUAUCAUUGAAAACACACAAUCAAAACAAUUUCUUUGGUUUGAUUGGCUUUGGGUCUAUCAAAAAGUUUGGCUUGUUUCUUACAAGCCAAGCGGCCUGAAAUAUAUUGUCUGGCUAAUUGCAUCGUUGAUGAUCGCUAUUAGACUUUGGCUUUUUUAAAUGAACUGGAGGUUGAUUAACCAGUUUUAGCUUUAGUCAAAUGGUCAUUGUAAAAAAAAUCUCGAUCUUGGCUAGGUGUUUAUAGCCGAAAAUUUUUUUUUGGCUAUAACCGAAACCAAUAUAAUCACAUUUAGUUAUCGAGCUGAAAUCAGGUGGGACUACCCGCUGAACUUAAGC
This 431-nucleotide unclassified non-coding RNA is filed under the name plant metagenome. RNAcentral describes it as "partial contains 5.8S ribosomal RNA, internal transcribed spacer 2, and large subunit ribosomal RNA". The stretch from base 1 to 102 matches the Rfam family "5.8S ribosomal RNA", at positions 50 to 154 of the family's 154-position model. The record is from RNAcentral.